CAGUAGCCGCGGUAAUGCGAAGGGUGCAAGCGUUAAUCGGAACUACUGGGCGUAAAGCGUGCGUAGGCGGUUUGUUAAGUCUGUUGUGAAAUCCCCGGGCUCAACCUGGGAAUGGCAGUGGAUACUGGCAAGCUAGAGUGUGUCAGAGGAUGGUGGAAUUCCCGGUGUAGCGGUGAAAUGCGUAGAGAUCGGGAGGAACAUCAGUGGCGAAGGCGGCCAUCUGGGACAACACUGACGCUGAGGCACGAAAGCGUGGGGAGCAAACAGGAUUAGAUACCCCCGUAGUCCCUGUCUCUUAUAC
This 301-nucleotide ribosomal RNA is filed under the name uncultured bacterium. RNAcentral describes it as "partial 16S ribosomal RNA". It matches the Rfam family "Bacterial small subunit ribosomal RNA", at positions 509 to 807 of the family's 1533-position model. The record is from RNAcentral.